This 309-nucleotide unclassified non-coding RNA is filed under the name fungal sp. RNAcentral's name for it is "partial internal transcribed spacer region". The stretch from base 1 to 46 matches the Rfam family "Eukaryotic small subunit ribosomal RNA", at positions 1786 to 1831 of the family's 1831-position model. The record is from RNAcentral. Lineage: Eukaryota; Fungi.
AAGUCGUAACAAGGUCUCCGUAGGUGAACCUGCGGAGGGAUCAUUAACACGUAUCCACGUAUUAACACAACGUGAACUAUAAUUGCGUAAGAAGAAAAGUUAUAGAACCUUUGUGUUCUAUUUCUUUUUUUCGACAAUUUUUUUAACGCUAUUUCAAUUCGAAAACAUUUCUCCUCAAAACAGAAAUGAAAACAAAAAAAACAAAUCAUGACUUAAUUGAGUAGUUUUUAAGAUAUUUUAUUAGAUCUUAAAAUCUAUUUUUCUUACGAAAAAUUAAAACAACUCUUAACAACGGAUAUCUUGGUUCUC